Molecule: ribosomal RNA, 523 nt
Filed under: Pseudomonas sp. NZPK4
Lineage: Bacteria; Pseudomonadati; Pseudomonadota; Gammaproteobacteria; Pseudomonadales; Pseudomonadaceae
Description: bacterial SSU rRNA
Rfam family: Bacterial small subunit ribosomal RNA
Source: RNAcentral
AGAGUUUGAUCCUGGCUCAGAUUGAACGCUGGCGGCAGGCCUAACACAUGCAAGUCGAGCGGUAGAGAGAAGCUUGCUUCUCUUGAGAGCGGCGCACGGGUGAGUAAUGCCUAGGAAUCUGCCUGGUAGUGGGGGAUAACGUUCGGAAACGGACGCUAAUACCGCAUACGUCCUACGGGAGAAAGCAGGGGACCUUCGGGCCUUGCGCUAUCAGAUGAGCCUAGGUCGGAUUAGCUAGUUGGUGAGGUAAUGGCUCACCAAGGCGACGAUCCGUAACUGGUCUGAGAGGAUGAUCAGUCACACUGGAACUGAGACACGGUCCAGACUCCUACGGGAGGCAGCAGUGGGGAAUAUUGGACAAUGGGCGAAAGCCUGAUCCAGCCAUGCCGCGUGUGUGAAGAAGGUCUUCGGAUUGUAAAGCACUUUAAGUUGGGAGGAAGGGCAGUUACCUAAUACGUGAUUGUUUUGACGUUACCGACAGAAUAAGCACCGGCUAACUCUGUGCCAGCAGCCGCGGUAAUAC